Molecule: long non-coding RNA, 1210 nt
Organism: Ictalurus punctatus (channel catfish)
Lineage: Eukaryota; Metazoa; Chordata; Actinopteri; Siluriformes; Ictaluridae
Source: Ensembl
AAUUGUGAAUGUGUGAGGUUUAACUAGUAAAUAUGAGCAUUUUAUAUGAAUGAGUGAGGUAAAACUAGUAAAUGUGAGCCUUUUAUAUGAAUGAGUGAGGUAGAACUAGUAAAUGUGAGCCUUUUGUAUGAAUGUGUGAGGUAAAACUAGUAAAUGUGAGCCUUUUGUAUGAAUGGGUGAGGUAAAAUUUAUAAAUGUGAGCCUUUUAUAUGAAUGUGUGAGGUAUAACUAGUAAAUGUGAGCCUUUUGUAUGAAUGGGUGAGGUAAAAAUUAUGAAUGUGAGGUAAAACUAGUAAAUGUGAGCCUUUUAUAUGAAUGAGUGAGGUAGAACUAGUAAAUGUGAGCCUUUUGUAUGAAUGUGUGAGGUAGAACUAGUAAAUGUGAGCUUUUUAUUUGAAGUGAAACAGUAAUGAGGUCAAAUCUUAAUCAACUUCAGGGUGGUAGGAAUUUCACAAAGAAGCAUUUUCCAAAACUUCUUUGUUACAAAAACAAAUUUCUUAAAGCUAGCAUGACUGCAAACUGGCCAAACACGGGCAGUGACAUUCUGACAUUUUGCCCAUGAUGUCUGUGUGUGUGUCUGGUUAAGUAACGGGUUGGCGAAAUGGAUCAAUUGAAGAGUGACUCAGUUCCAUCCCGAGGUCUUCAGGUUACUUCCUGGAAACGUUGAGUGGACAUUCCACUCCGAUAAAGACACCUCCUGGUUACACACACGCACAACCGAGCUGAGUUAUUUAUGCAUGGACAGUAUUAGAGUUCACCAAAGGCAGGCCAAAAUCGCCUCAUCAUGAUGUUAACACUUGGACUGUGUGUGUGUCAGAGUGAAGGAAAUAGUGCUGUGUAGUGUGCAUUCAGCAGUUCUUUUCCAUUCAUAUAGACAAGGUGAAAUGAAUGAAAAAGGAAUCUGUGACUCUCAAAGAAAACCCGAAUCCCCAAAAAAUGGUGCUUCGUUGUUUACAGAAUUCAUCCACAAAUUAAUAAUAGUUUUAUGGUUAAGAUCACAAAUCGGUCAAUAAUGGAUCCUAGCAAAGUAAAAACUUCAUCUUAAUUCUGUACAUAUGUACAUUGUGUGUGUGUGAGAGAGAGAGAGUGAGAGAGAGAGGAGGAUGUGGACAGUCUGUGUGGUUUCAGAGCCACAUGGAUAUUGUGUGUGUGUGUUUUAAAUUAUUCUCAGGGUCAUAGUGCUCAGUCACUGAUAGCUCUUCUCUCUCAU